Molecule: ribosomal RNA, 500 nt
Filed under: uncultured bacterium
Lineage: Bacteria
Description: partial 16S ribosomal RNA
Rfam family: Bacterial small subunit ribosomal RNA
Source: RNAcentral
AUUGAACGCUGGCGGCAUGCUUUACACAUGCAAGUCGAACGGUAACGCGGGGGCAACCCUGGCGACGAGUGGCGAACGGGUGAGUAAUACAUCGGAACGUGCCCAGUAGUGGGGGAUAGCUCGGCGAAAGCCGGAUUAAUACCGCAUACGACCUACGGGUGAAAGCGGGGGAUCGCAAGACCUCGCGCUAUUGGAGCGGCCGAUGGCAGAUUAGCUGGUUGGUGGGGUAAAAGCCUACCAAGGCUACGAUCUGUAGCUGGUCUGAGAGGACGACCAGCCACACUGCGACUGAGGCACGGCCCAGACUCCUGCGGGAGGCAGCAGUGGGGAAUUUUGGACAAUGGGCGCAAGCCUGAUCCAGCAAUGCCGGGUGUGUGAUGAAGGACUUCGGGUUGUAAAGCACUUUUAGUGGGAACGAAACGGUCCGGGCCAAUACCCUGGACUACUGACGGUACCCGCAGAAUAAGCACCGGCUAACUACGUGCCAGCCGCCGCAGUAA